This 608-nucleotide long non-coding RNA is filed under the name Homo sapiens (human). RNAcentral's name for it is "non-protein coding lnc-R3HDM2-1:3". The record is from RNAcentral. Lineage: Eukaryota; Metazoa; Chordata; Mammalia; Primates; Hominidae.
CCCAGCAGCAACAGCAGCAGCAGCAGCAGCAACUUCCUGCUCUCCCACCCACGCCUCAGCAACAGCCACCCUUGAAUAAUCACAUGAUCUCACAGGCAGAUGACCUCAGCAACCCCUUUGGACAAAUGAGCCUUAGUCGCCAAGGUUCUACUGAAGCAGCUGACCCAUCUGCAGCUCUAUUCCAGACCCCACUUAUCUCCCAGCACCCUCAGCAGACUAGCUUCAUCAUGGCUUCCACGGGUCAGCCCCUCCCCACUUCCAACUAUUCCACCUCUAGCCAUGCACCACCUACUCAGCAAGUUCUGCCACCCCAGGGGUACAUGCAGCCCCCUCAACAGAUCCAGGUUUCUUACUAUCCCCCUGGACAAUAUCCUAACUCCAACCAGCAAUAUCGACCUCUCUCUCACCCGGUGGCCUAUAGCCCCCAACGUGGUCAGCAGCUGCCUCAUAGCUGGGACUACAGGUGUGCGCCACCAUGCCCAGCUAAUUUUUGUAUUUUUAGUAGAGACGGGGUUUCGCCAUGUUGGCCAGGUUGGUCUCGAACUCCUGACCUCAUGAUCCACCUGCCUUGGCCUCCCAAAGUGCUGGGAUUACAGGCGUAAGCCACU